This 700-nucleotide ribosomal RNA is filed under the name uncultured Nitrospira sp. RNAcentral describes it as "bacterial SSU rRNA". It matches the Rfam family "Bacterial small subunit ribosomal RNA", at positions 60 to 752 of the family's 1533-position model. The record is from RNAcentral. Lineage: Bacteria; Pseudomonadati; Nitrospirota; Nitrospiria; Nitrospirales; Nitrospiraceae.
AGUCGAGCGAGAAGACGUAGCAAUACGUUUGUAAAGCGGCGAACGGGUGAGGAAUACAUGGGUAACCUACCCUUGAGUGGGGAAUAACUAGCCGAAAGGUUAGCUAAUACCGCGUACGCUCCUUGGACUUCGGUUCAGGGAGGAAAGCGCUGCCGAGGGCAGCGCGCUCUUGGAUGGGCUCAUGUCCUAUCAGCUUGUUGGUGAGGUAACGGCUCACCAAGGCUUCGACGGGUAGCUGGUCUGAGAGGACGAUCAGCCACACUGGCACUGCGACACGGGCCAGACUCCUACGGGAGGCAGCAGUAAGGAAUAUUGCGCAAUGGGCGAAAGCCUGACGCAGCGACGCCGCGUGGGGGAUGAAGGUCUUCGGAUUGUAAACCCCUUUCGGGAGGGAAGAUGGAAUGGGGUAACCCAUUCGGACGGUACCUCCAGAAGCAGCCACGGCUAACUUCGUGCCAGCAGCCGCGGUAAUACGAAGGUGGCAAGCGUUAUUCGGAUUUACUGGGCGUACAGGGAGCGUAGGCGGUUCGGUAAGCCCUCUGUGAAAUCUUCAGGCUUAACCUGGAAAAGUCGGAGGGGACUGCUGGGCUAGAGGACGGGAGAGGAGCGCGGAAUUCCCGGUGUAGCGGUGAAAUGCGUAGAGAUCGGGAGGAAGGCCGGUGGCGAAGGCGGCGCUCUGGAACGUUUCUGACGCUGAGGC